GCCGAGAUGACAGAGUCAGGUCAAAACAAGGCCACAUGUGCUCGCCUCGAGAGCGAGUGAGCCUUUGUGCUCGCGCAGGUUCAAAUCCUGCUCUCGGCG
Molecule: transfer RNA, 99 nt
Filed under: Candidatus Aenigmarchaeota archaeon ex4484_14
Lineage: Archaea; Nanobdellati; Candidatus Aenigmatarchaeota
Also listed under: 2 other names
Description: tRNA-Ser
Rfam family: tRNA
About the family: Transfer RNA (tRNA) molecules are approximately 80 nucleotides in length.
Source: RNAcentral